UAUGGCCACUUCCUGUAUCGCGUGGAAAAACAACAUCCAAAGAUGGCUAGCGAAGUGAAUGCUAUCAUGUAACUAGAGGAUAAGGAUAACAUAAUGACAUGAUCAAUAGUUUAAAAUUAUUCAAAACCAAUGCAUAUACAUAUAUACUUCACAUGUCGGGAUAAGGAACAAGGUUAAACAUACACUUAAAAGUUUACCCUGGAUUGUGUAGCUCAACCGUCAUAACAUGUACCUAUUUUAAUGAAAAAUGACUUUAGAGUCGAC
Molecule: long non-coding RNA, 264 nt
Filed under: Capsicum annuum
Lineage: Eukaryota; Viridiplantae; Streptophyta; Magnoliopsida; Solanales; Solanaceae
Description: long non-coding RNA (CANN_LNC006597)
Source: RNAcentral